UAUUUGUGAUAACUACGUUUC
Non-coding RNA from Caenorhabditis elegans, 21 nucleotides. Lineage: Eukaryota; Metazoa; Nematoda; Chromadorea; Rhabditida; Rhabditidae. The record is from Ensembl.